RNAcentral lists this long non-coding RNA (340 nucleotides) under Lupinus angustifolius (narrow-leaved blue lupine). RNAcentral describes it as "long non-coding RNA (LANG_LNC003532)". Lineage: Eukaryota; Viridiplantae; Streptophyta; Magnoliopsida; Fabales; Fabaceae. The record is from RNAcentral.
GAUUUUGCUCAUUGUUUUUAUUAAAACUUCAGCACUACAUUUCCAUAUACUGUUAUUUGAUUCUUUGGUGUUUUCUUUUUUUGGGUUAUUUGUUUUAAUCAUUUCUCUUGUCAUUUUAUCAGUGGUAUCAUAUGACAAACCAAGAAGAGGAAUAUGAAUUGAGGAAUGCGAGAAACAAACACUCCAUAAAAUAUGAUAGUACUGAGAAUUGAAGAAUAAAGAAGAGAAGAGGAAUGUGAAACAACAAAAAUGAGUUAAAUGUGACUUCACAGUGUUAGUUAGGUUGAUGUUGAGAUGAAAAAAUAUUUACACGUGUCCAAAUAUGACUCAUCACCAGCAC